RNAcentral lists this unclassified non-coding RNA (218 nucleotides) under Hevea brasiliensis (rubber tree). The record is from RNAcentral. Lineage: Eukaryota; Viridiplantae; Streptophyta; Magnoliopsida; Malpighiales; Euphorbiaceae.
CAGAGGAUAAGUUGGAACGUUCAACUUCAUCAUUAGGAGAAAUCCCUCCAAGAGAGGCAUGCGAUAUUCAUCUGCUAACUCGUGGAAGAGCAUGGGCAAUUUCUCUUACACUCAGGAGUACAAUCAGUGAAGAAAUUUUAAAACCAUGCUUACCUAGUGGCAGUGAUGGAACAUUUGAAAAUCUUCUAUACCGGUCAUCUCUUCAUGGGAGGGGCUUU